This is an RNA transcript of Pan troglodytes (chimpanzee), 3721 nucleotides long. It is a transcript of the gene named H2B clustered histone 11, with no coding region annotated. The record is from RefSeq and is a predicted model, not a curated record. NCBI's taxonomy places the organism in Eukaryota, Metazoa, Chordata, Mammalia, Primates, Hominidae. The transcript has 3 exons.
AUGCCAGAGCCAGCGAAGUCUGCUCCCGCCCCGAAAAAGGGCUCCAAGAAGGCGGUGACUAAGGCGCAGAAGAAAGACGGCAAGAAGCGCAAGCGCAGCCGCAAGGAGAGCUAUUCCAUCUACGUGUACAAGGUUCUGAAGCAGGUCCACCCUGACACCGGCAUUUCGUCCAAGGCCAUGGGCAUCAUGAAUUCGUUUGUGAACGACAUUUUCGAGCGCAUCGCAGGUGAGGCUUCCCGCCUGGCGCAUUACAACAAGCGCUCGACCAUCACCUCCAGGGAGAUCCAGACGGCCGUGCGCCUGCUGCUGCCCGGGGAGUUGGCCAAGCACGCCGUGUCCGAGGGCACCAAGGCCGUCACCAAGUACACCAGCGCUAAGUAAACAGUGGAAUGGCCGAAACUUCUCAGCAGGUGCAUCUACACUAGUGACCUGAGGAGAGAAACCCUAACCCCACAAUGGCUGCAUCUUCUCUGAAGACGAGACUGAUGCUCAUCUUUGAAAUGAAGGGCAGUGUGUGCAUUUCUCCAUGAAGGGGAUGAUCCAGAAGAUGAAAAACAAAUUGUCAUUCCACAUAGUCCUCUUCUGAGUGUUUUUCAGUUUUGUUAAAACUCAGAUUUUUUCUUUUUACCUGAAUGUUUUUUUGUUAAUGAUUAUUAGCAUAUACAGUAUUUUCUUUUAUGUACCAAAAAAAGGCAAUUGAUACAGUGCAUGACUUGAAAAUAUACCUGCCUUCUCUGAGGCUCAAACUCAGGACUGUAUUAUUUGGAAAGCCUUGUUGGGUUGUGGCUCCCAAGAAAUCAUACCUAAUUUCCCUUCUUUGAGAGCACUGAUUUCUGAGUUUCCAUUUCUCCUAGAAGAGAAACAUUGGCUUGUAAGAAUUUAUGUAUCAUCAAGGCUUCCUUUUCCAUCCUGCACUUAGAAGGACCCAAGACUUGAGGGCUGCGCUGUCAACACUAUUCCUUGCUCACCCUCUCUUUUUUCUAAUUAUUUAUGUCUUCCCGCCUUCAGAAAUAUCAGUUGCUCUUUCACCAGCCAUUGUUUCCUCUCUGGCCGUAGUGCAGAGUAGGUGACGUAGUACAGCUGAAAGGAUGAAUGCUGGCAAACUUGCCUCUAGCCCAGAUUUCUCCUUAUUUUAAAUCUGCACUUGCAACCACAUGGCCUGAGACACUCCUCUUGAAAAUAUCACCAAAAGGACCUUAUUAUAAAAAGUCACCGCCAUCUAUUCAGGGCUAUGUAUUAGGGGACAAUAAAGUGUGAGUCAUGGCCAGGCGCGGUGGCUAAUGCCUCUAAUCCCAGCACUUUGGGAGGCCGAGGUGGGUGGAUCACGAGGUCAGGAGAUUGAGACCAUCCUGGCUAACACGGUGAAACCCCAUCUCUACUAAAAAUACAAAAAAUUAGCCGGGCGUGGUGGUGGGAGCCUGUAGUCCCAGCUACUUGGGAGGCUGAGGCAGAAGAAUGGCGUGAACCCAGGAAGCGGAGCUUGCACUGAGCCGAGAUCACACCACUGCACUCCAGCCUGGGAGACAUAGCAAGACUUUGUCUCAGAAAAAAAAAAUUGUGUCAUUUACAUUGUUUUAUUUUAUCCAACUUAAUGUUUUUCACAAACAGGUAUCAUUAUCCUCAUUUUAGAGAUGAAGCUGAGACUCAGAGUAGAAAACUUCCUUAAGUCACAAGAUUGAUAAGUGGCAAAGCCAGUACUAGAAAGCAGAAUAGUUUUGAUUCUGAAAUGUGCUCCUUCUCACGUAUCAGCUCCUGUUCCCUCCACAUUCCUUGUCUGCAUGUACCCAAUGGUACACUUGACACAUAUUUACAAAUUUGUGCAUUCCCACCCAUUAGAUAUACAUCUCCACCUCCAAUGACUUACCAACUCUUGUAGAUUAUUCCCACACAUUUGCUUUCUUUUCAUUCAUUCCUUCAUGCAUUUGUGGCACAUAGCAUUAUGGAGGAAAUCCUGUGUCACAUGUAUUCACUGCAGACUUCAGAGGCUGAAGGAACAUGGCCUAGCAUCUGGGGCCCUUCCUUGUUUGAAAAGUUUCUGGUUUCUCCACUUCUAGGCUCGCCAUCUUCCGACCUUCCUGACAGAUAAGAAAUACACUUCAAAGCUUAGUCUGAGAAAGCAACUUCUCAAAGUUUUUCAAAAGAGCUUGUAUCCUUUUAGUCUGGGUUUUAAACCAUUACUUGUUUCUAUAUACAUUUUUCCAGAUAAGUUUUUAAAAAUUAUUUCUACCGGACCAGGCACGGUGGCUCAUGCCUGUAAUCCCAGCACUUUGGGAGGCCAAGGCAGGCGGAUCACGAGGUCAGGAGUUAGAGACCAGCCUGGCCAACACAGUGAAACCCCGUCUCUACUAAAAAUACAAAAAUUAGCAGGGCGUGGUGGCGGGCACCUGUAAUCCCAGCUACUCGGAGGCUGAGGCAGGAGAAUCGCUUGAACCUGGGAGGCGGAGGUUGCAGUGAACUAAGAUUGUGCCAUUGCACUCCAGCCUGGGUGACAGAGCUAGAUGUCAUCUCAAGAAAAAAAAAGAAAAAAAAAUUAUUUCUACCUAGAAUGUAUGUUUCAUGCCCAACUAAAGAGGUUCUUCUCUUUUCCUCAUACAGAAUAUCCUAUUUCCAUGCCUGGAACCCCCUACUCCCUAUUCUGUCUUCAGUUUCAUCUUCUAAUGCCCAUUCUUGAUCCCUUUGAUCUAUUGCUUUUUUCUAAACUCUCACAGUUCUUUAAGCCUGUUUUGCAUUUUUGCUCUUCCACCAUGUGCUUUAUGUGGCUUCUUUUCUGAACAUUUCCAUCUCAAGAAUAGUAAGUAUCACAUUGUAACCUCACACACUGUUGACACGAGUAAACUUCAGUCUGUUGAUUUGUUCUGAAAACAGUGGAAAUAACUGGUUUUCCUGUCUUUUCUUUCCUUCUUUUCUUUCUCACUCUGUCACCCAGGCUGGAGUGCAGUGGUGCAAUCUUGACUCACCACAACCUCCGCCUCCCUGAUUCAAGCAAUUCUGCCUCAGCCUCCUGAGAGCUGGGACUAUAGGCGAGCAUCACCACACCCCACUAAUUUUUGUAUUUUUAGUAGAGACAGGGUUUCACCAUGUUGGCCAGGCUUGGUCUCAAACUCCUGACCUCAAGUGAUCCACCUGCCUUGGUGUCCCAAAGUGCUGGAAUUACAGGUGUGAGCCACUGCGCCUGGCCAGAGCUGGUUCUUUUUCUUUAGAGCGACUUUUUAUAGCUGUCAAGGUAGAAAACAGAGAAUUUCUUUAUAACUUGCAAUUUCUACAGUUGGCAGCCUCCUCUGCUCAGGCCUUGUCAAUGUCUGGUUUUCCCACCCUCCCAGAAAUGGGGUCUCGAUCUAUCACCCAGGCUGGAGUGCAGUGGCGUGAUCAUGGUUCACUGCAGCCUCAAACUCCUGGGCUCAAGUCAUCCUCCUACCUCAGCCUUCCAAGUAGCUAGAACUACAGGUGUGUGCUACUACAAUGACUAAUUUAUUUUCUUAGAGACGAGGUCUCGCUAUGUUUCCUAGGCUAAUCUCAAAUUCCUGGCCUGAAGUGGUCCUCCUGCUUGGGCCUCCUGAGUCGCUAGGAUUACAAUAAUGUCUAGUAUGAAGGAAGUUUGUCUUGAUAUGUUUCCUGCUCAAAACAAAAUGCAACUUGUCAUUUUCAAACUCUAAAAUUCUUCUGGUGUGUUUUAAAAUGUCUAUACUGUAAUAGCAAAUAAAUUAACUUUUAUGACAGGGAA